ACCCCUGUAGCUUAGUGGUUAGAGCAUUGUGCUUAUAUCGCAAGGGUCGGCGGUUCGAACCCGCCCAGGGGUA
RNAcentral lists this transfer RNA (73 nucleotides) under Aspergillus terreus. RNAcentral describes it as "tRNA-Ile". It matches the Rfam family "tRNA". From Rfam's summary of the family: Transfer RNA (tRNA) molecules are approximately 80 nucleotides in length. Their secondary structure includes four short double-helical elements and three loops (D, anti-codon, and T loops). Further hydrogen bonds mediate the characteristic L-shaped molecular structure. tRNAs have two regions of fundamental functional importance: the anti-codon, which is responsible for specific mRNA codon recognition, and the 3' end, to which the tRNAs corresponding amino acid is attached (by aminoacyl-tRNA synthetases). tRNAs cope with the degeneracy of the genetic code in two manners: having more than one tRNA (with a specific anti-codon) for a particular amino acid; and 'wobble' base-pairing, i.e. permitting non-standard base-pairing at the 3rd anti-codon position. Lineage: Eukaryota; Fungi; Ascomycota; Eurotiomycetes; Eurotiales; Aspergillaceae. RNAcentral also lists the same sequence under 1 other name. The record is from RNAcentral.